This 36-nucleotide ribosomal RNA is filed under the name Erica benguelensis subsp. benguelensis. RNAcentral's name for it is "partial 18S ribosomal RNA". The record is from RNAcentral. Lineage: Eukaryota; Viridiplantae; Streptophyta; Magnoliopsida; Ericales; Ericaceae. RNAcentral also lists the same sequence under 7 other names.
GUUUCCGUAGGUGACCUGCGGAAGGAUCAUUGUCAA